Molecule: long non-coding RNA, 746 nt
Filed under: Ovis aries (sheep)
Lineage: Eukaryota; Metazoa; Chordata; Mammalia; Artiodactyla; Bovidae
Description: lncRNA (ENSOARG00000026788.1)
Source: RNAcentral
UCUGUCAGUAUUCCAUUACAACCCUAUUUUAUACCUUCAUUCCUAAUAAAUAUUUUGCACUCAUUACUGACUUUUGACUUUGGAUAAAGAAAACCUGAAAUCAUGAAAUGGUGGUAACAAUUUUCAGUUUUUAAAAAAAAUUUGCUUAAUGAGUUUCUUUGGAAUAACAUCUAUUCCAAUAAAAAGAAUUGGAAAAAAGUUCAUCAAAAAACAAGCUAAAAGUACAUAGCGUCAGAAAAACAAUUCCUUCACAUUCUAUUAAAGAAAGACAAAUAAACUUUUAUACAGUCCUUGUCUUGGCAUUCUCAUAAAUGCACAUUUUUUAACGAUCAGGUUGAAUGAGAAAUUUAGUGGAAAGUAAAAUUUUAUACAGAAAGUUAGUUUCACAUUUCAGUAUUAACAGAAGUCUUGUAAUAAAUUCUCAGACCACAUUCAAAUAGGAAUUCCCAUAAAAGGAAAUACCAGUGUUCAGAAGUAGUAUAAGAGCCAUUUGCUGUAAUUUUCCCCCUUAUAAUAGGAGACAGUUUUGGCUACCUGUUCUUUAUGCACAUGACGCAACAAAUAUGGAUCCUCUUCUGCUCAAGCACAGCAUGGAAAAGCCCUCAAUGAAUGUCCCACUUAGUGUUUGUCACUGCUUUUCUUCCAAGGACCAAGCGUCUUUUGUGAGGAUGGGCAACACUGAAACAGGCACAAGUAUAAGACUUUGCAGAUUCAAGAAGAACAUGCGUCUUUGUGGGGAAGAGUGA